This is a long non-coding RNA of Cucurbita moschata (crookneck pumpkin), 633 nucleotides long. RefSeq lists it as uncharacterized. The record is from RefSeq and is a predicted model, not a curated record. The transcript is spliced from 2 exons. Lineage: Eukaryota; Viridiplantae; Streptophyta; Magnoliopsida; Cucurbitales; Cucurbitaceae.
AUAAUACCCUCACCCCUCCUAUCAAACCUCACUCAGUCGGUCAGUCACCCACAAUUUCAUCCUUCCUUUCUUCAUUCUCCAAGCUCCAAUUUCCCUUACAAACCAAACUUGAGGACGAUGAGCAAGAGGUCGAGAAGUAGCGAGCCAAAGGUCGAGUUGAGAGUGAACCUGAACCGGUUGCCAUCGCCAGCGACGUCGUCUUUGUCGGGGUCGGGGUCGUCAUCGGACAUAUCGGUGGAGAAUUCGUGCUUGGGGUGGGAGGGGGGCGUGGAAGAAGAGAUAAUAACAAGAUCCAUGAUGCUGGUGGGAUGUCCGGGGUGCUUCAUGUAUGUGAUGUUGACCGAGAAGAGCUCCCAAUGCCCCAAAUGCCACAACAACGUCUUCCUUGAUUUCUUCAAGCACCAGCAGCAGCAGCAGCAGCAUCAUGCCUAGCCAACCCACACCGCCAUUAUUAUCAAUAAUAUCAACCCUUUCUCAUCAUCAUUUUCUAUGUUCUUCGCUUUUUUUUCUAAUUUUUUUUUUUUAUAACAUCAUGAAUCCUAGGCUUAACUUUCUGAAUCCUCUGUUUCUCCUCCAUACGUUGUUGCCCUGUGGUUGCUAUCACUAAUUAACAUGUGCAUCUUUUUCUGUGUC